GCCUGGUUAACUCAAUUGGCAGAGUGUCAGACUCUUAUCUCUCUCUGAAGAUAAUUUCUGAGGAUACAAGGUUAUCUGAAAGCUGCGGGUUCGACCCCCGCAUCGGGCU
Molecule: transfer RNA, 109 nt
Filed under: Talaromyces islandicus
Lineage: Eukaryota; Fungi; Ascomycota; Eurotiomycetes; Eurotiales; Trichocomaceae
Description: Penicillium islandicum tRNA
Rfam family: tRNA
About the family: Transfer RNA (tRNA) molecules are approximately 80 nucleotides in length.
Source: Rfam by way of RNAcentral